CCUCAUCUGCCCUCCAGGUCAGUAAUGGUCAAUGUUUUAUCUUCUGAAGUACUACUUCUCGCAAGACUGCAACUUCUCUCCAUAAAAAACCCAGGCUCUUUAGGUUCUGCCAAAAUUACUCCAUCAUUUCCUAACAUUGACACCACAGAUGACAUGUUUGGCCUAUCUUCUGCAAAUUUCUGAACACAUAAUAAUCCCACUUGCAUGCAUCUCUUCACUUCAUACUCCGCAAAUGUAUCAUUCAAAUACUCAUCCAUUAACUCCAAAAUCCUGUUUUCUUUCCAUAGCAACCAUGCCUGCCACAAGGAUAUAUCAACAAGAUGAACAAGUAUGGGAUAUGACAAGCUAAUCAGAGUGUACCAAAAACAAAGAGGUCAAGGCUUUUAUUCUGCAGGUAUUCAUAGAUUAGCAUCCUUUCUUCUUCUUCAAUGCAACAUCCCAAUAGUCUUACAAGAUUUCUGUGUUGAAGUUUUGCAAUCACCAUAACUUCAUUUCUGAAUUCUUCCAGACCCUGUUGUGAAGAUUUCGAUAAUCUUUUGACAGCAAUUUCUUCUCCUGAUAGCAUUUUCCCCUGCUUAUGGAAGUUAGAAUACGAGUAUACUUUUAAUCCAACUUCAGCACUCUCACUUAGAAUGUUACCUUGUAAACAGUACCGAAACCUCCGACUCCAAUGUAGUUUUCCGUUGAGAAAUUAUUUGUGGCUUGCACAAUAGUUGCCAUUUUGAUCACAGUUAAUUCUAAAUCCUCAUCAUUCCAUUUUACUGGUAAAAGCGAGAGUAAAAAAGAAUAAAUGCUUGAGAGUUAGCUUGAGUUUAUGCUUUGAAUAUGAAUAAACUCUCUUUCUUAGAGCAGUCAACUACAGAAGUUCAAUUGUUACCUUGCCCCUUUCGUCUUGACAUAAAAAGUACAGCUCCAUUGAUAAUGGCUGAGACGAGAACACCAGAAGCAAUUGAUACCAGUAUGAAUUUAGUAGGCCUUUUAUACUCCCCUUCUUCUAAACCUCUGCUAAAAUCUACAGGCAAAUUCGAACAGCUUCUAUGUUUAAUGAUUCAUACUUUUACGAAACAAUUAGGUCACAACAUGCACGUAGUGCAAGUAUCCAUCUUAAGUUUGGAGCUGAGAUAUGCAGAUCUAGAUAGCGUAAAUGGUAGUUACUAGUUAUGAAACUACUAACCUAGUUCAGAAAGUGGCACACGGAUAUAGAUCUUCUGCUUACUAUCUGCUUCAGAGAGUCCUUUGGUAUCCAUGAGAUCACCAAACCACAUCAAGCAGCCAUUGCCCCCAUUGGUGAUGAACGAAUUAGCAUAAGCGGUGCAACUACAGUUUUUAAGGCACUCAGAUUUGCACUCAGCGAGGCUCAUGCUUGUAUUUAACAGACAUCUCAAGGUAUCAGGAUACUUCACCCCUCUAAUCUCUUGAAAUCCAUCUCCGCCCUCACAAUUCAACGGUUUAGUUCUAAUACAUCCACCCGACCAAUCGUGAAGAUCCCAAUCCUUUUGGAGCUUGGGAGCAAAUCCCUUUAAACAUUGGCAUCUAAUUGGCCUGUCAGAUCUGCAGAUACAGUUGUGGCCACAGCUAUCAUAUUCAUCGCACGUAUCUUGUGGAAAAGAGAUGACAUGAUUCCACUUGUCUUUUCUGAUAUUCAUGGUAUGGCGCUGGAGUGUACCAGAUGUAUCCAAAGUAGUUCUCACCGGAAUUGAGUUCUCAUAGACCUCUUCAAUGGAUAUCAACCUCUCUUGCCUGAAAACCAGUUCUGUUUUGAAAAUGGAAUUGGGAAAGGGUGCGUUACCACAAAAAUACAUCCCAUUCCACUGUCCUACUCGGUAUCUUUUGCUUGCCCCUCUUAGAGUCACCGUCUCAGCCAAGCCCCGAUUUUGGAUCCGGUGAACAUAAUCACCGGGAGAUGGAUCGUCCGGACUUCUCCAUGACGUCAGAUAUCUCUCAACACCAGCAUCAACAUCAUCCACCAAUUUCAUUCCUGGUAACAUGGUGUCAGUUGGGUAAUCAAAACUCUGCCACAUGUAGCCCUCCGUCGUGCUUGUGUUGUCGUUUAAAAGAACCAUGUUUCCAGUAUCCAGGAGCUGUAAAACUGGAUUUGAUGCCACCGCUGAUCCUGAUGAAUUCGCCACCCAGAUAAUGCUUUUGCCACUGCUUAUAACAAGACUUCCAUUUCUGGAGAUCAUGAAAACUGGUGCUUGUGAGGCGGUGAUGGGAUGGUUUCUGUUUGCAACCCAGACUACUACUUCUGGUGUGCUCUUGUACCAUAUUCCCAUGAAUCUAUUUGAAGAUUUUCCAGGUGAGAAGAAACCCAUUUCAAAAACUUGGUUUUGAGAGAUCAAAGUCUGCCCGAUAACAAGCGUUUGAUUUGGUACAAGACUGCAAUUGUCAACUGCUCCAACUAUUAAACUCAGAAAGAAGAUGUAAUGAAGCAGAUGGCAGAGGAUUGAAGUGUACAAGAAGAACUGUGCCAUGAUCAAAUCUAGUAAGUUUGAUUUAAUUCACAACUUUGUUUCAAAAAAAAAAUUAAUUCACAACUUUGUGUUGAUAUUACAUUUUCUAUCUCCAUUAUUUUUAGAUGAUAACUUUUAGAUGAUAACUACCUAUGUUAUUUUCUAAUGGUGUAUAACUUGAAACUUAAUUCAUUUCUAAUACAUUGAAUUUAAUUCA
Long non-coding RNA from Salvia miltiorrhiza (redroot sage), 2667 nucleotides. RefSeq lists it as uncharacterized. NCBI's taxonomy places the organism in Eukaryota, Viridiplantae, Streptophyta, Magnoliopsida, Lamiales, Lamiaceae. The transcript is spliced from 2 exons. The record is from RefSeq and is a predicted model, not a curated record.